This 465-nucleotide ribosomal RNA is filed under the name Vreelandella stevensii. RNAcentral's name for it is "partial 16S ribosomal RNA". It matches the Rfam family "Bacterial small subunit ribosomal RNA", at positions 338 to 795 of the family's 1533-position model. Lineage: Bacteria; Pseudomonadati; Pseudomonadota; Gammaproteobacteria; Oceanospirillales; Halomonadaceae. The record is from RNAcentral.
CCUACGGGGGGCAGCAGUGGGGAAUAUUGGACAAUGGGGGGAACCCUGAUCCAGCCAUGCCGCGUGUGUGAAGAAGGCCCUCGGGUUGUAAAGCACUUUCAGUGAGGAAGAACGCCUGGUGGUUAAUACCCAUCAGGAAAGACAUCACUCACAGAAGAAGCACCGGCUAACUCCGUGCCAGCAGCCGCGGUAAUACGGAGGGGGCGAGCGUUAAUCGGAAUUACUGGGCGUAAAGCGCGCGUAGGUGGCUUGAUAAGCCGGUUGUGAAAGCCCCGGGCUCAACCUGGGAACGGCAUCCGGUACUGGAAAGCUAGAGUGCAGGAGAGGAAGGUAGAAUUCCCGGUGUAGCGGUGAAAUGCGUAGAGAUCGGGAGGAAUACCAGUGGCGAAGGCGGCCUUCUGGACUGACACUGACACUGAGGUGCGAAAGCGUGGGUAGCAAACAGGAUUAGAUACCCGUGUAGUC